RNAcentral lists this ribosomal RNA (254 nucleotides) under uncultured bacterium. RNAcentral describes it as "partial 16S ribosomal RNA". It matches the Rfam family "Bacterial small subunit ribosomal RNA", at positions 524 to 776 of the family's 1533-position model. The record is from RNAcentral.
UACGGGGGGAGCAAGCGUUGUUCGGAUUUACUGGGCGUAAAGGGCGCGUAGGCGGUCAGCACAAGUCAGUUGUGAAAUCUCCGGGCUUAACUCGGAAAGGUCAACUGAUACUGUGCGACUAGAGUGCAGAAGGGGCAACUGGAAUUCUCGGUGUAGCGGUGAAAUGCGUAGAUAUCGAGAGGAACACCUGCGGCGAAGGCGGGUUGCUGGGCUGACACUGACGCUGAUGCGCGAAAGCCAGGGAGCGAAGCGGG